GGGAAUUUCUUCAAUUUGAAGUAUAAACUGUUCAUUAGAAUACGAAUAAUGUUCAUGACCCUAGAUACGUUGCCUCCAGAUUUAAAGAGACAGUAUGGUCAUAGUCAAAGGCUGUCUAUUCAUUUUCUUGUUUUGAGAGUUGCUCAAAGGAUGCUAUUGUUUCAAUUUAUGAAACCCUUUUUUUCUGCUUCAAUGCAUUAAAG
RNAcentral lists this unclassified non-coding RNA (203 nucleotides) under Hevea brasiliensis (rubber tree). The record is from RNAcentral. Lineage: Eukaryota; Viridiplantae; Streptophyta; Magnoliopsida; Malpighiales; Euphorbiaceae.